Molecule: ribosomal RNA, 1273 nt
Filed under: uncultured bacterium
Lineage: Bacteria
Description: bacterial SSU rRNA
Rfam family: Bacterial small subunit ribosomal RNA
Source: RNAcentral
GUAAAGAUUUAUCGGUUCGAGAGGAACCUGCGGCCUAUCAGCUUGUUGGUAAGGUAACGGCUUACCAAGGCUAUGACGGGUACCUGGUGUGAGAACACGGCCAGGCAGAAUGGGACUGAGACACGGCCCAUACUCCUACGGGAGGCAGCAGUGAGGAAUUUUCCGCAAUGGGCGAAAGCCUGACGGAGCAAUCCCGCGUGGAGGAUGACACCCUUCGGGGCGUAAACUCCUUUUCUGAGGGAAGAAAUUCUGACGGUACCUCAGGAAUAAGCACCGGCUAACUACGUGCCAGCAGCCGCGGUAAUACGUAGGGUGCAAGCGUUAUCCGGAAUUAUUGGGCGUAAAGCGUUCGAAGGCGGAUGAAUAAGUCUGAUGUUAAAUACCCAUGGCUCAACCGGGGUCUCGUAUCGGAAACUGUUCGUCUAGAGAAAGACAGAGGCAGGUAGAAUUUCCAUUGUAGGGGUUAAAUCCGUAGAUAAUGGAAGGAAUACCAAAAGCGAAGGCAGCCUGCUGGGUCUUUUCUGACGCUGCGCGAACGAAAGCGUGGGGAGCAAAAGGGAUUAGAUACCCCUGUAGUCCACGCCGUAAACGAUGGAUACUCGGUGUUCGGGAGUCCAAUCCUCCUGAGUACCCAAGCUAACGCAUUAAGUAUCCCGCCUGAGGAGUACGACCGCAAGGUUAAAACUCAAAGGAAUAGACGGGGAUCCACACAAGCGGUGGAGCGUGUUGUUUAAUUCGACAAUAAGCGAGGAACCUUACCAGGGCUUGACAUCCUGCGAAUCUUCUAGAAACAGAAGAGUGCCCUCGGGAAUGCAGUGACAGGUGUUGCAUGGUUGUCGUCAGCUCGUGCCCUGAGGUGUUCGGUUAAGUCCGUUAACGAGCGCAACCCUUGUCGUAUGUUGUAUCUUUCAUGCGAGACUGCCGGCUUCAAGUCGGAGGAAGGUAGGGAUGACGUCAAAUCAGCAUGACCCUUAUGUCCUGGGCGACAAACGCGCUACAAUGGCCGGUACAAUGCGUAGCUAAACCGUAAGGUGGAGCCAAUCGCAUCAAAACCGGUCUCAGUUCGGAUUGAGGUCUGAAACCCGACCUCAUGAAGUUGGAAUCGCUAGUAAACGCCGAUCAGCCAUGCGGCGUUGAAUAUGUUCCUGGAUCUUGUACUCACCGCCCGUCAAGUCACGAAAUCUGGGGGUACCCGAUGUGGGGUUAGUCCGCCUCGGUGGACGCCUCCCUAAGGUAAAACCAGUGAUUGGGAUUAAGUCGUAACAAGGUAACC